Dromiciops gliroides (monito del monte) is the source of this 104-nucleotide small nuclear RNA. The record is from RefSeq and is a predicted model, not a curated record. NCBI's taxonomy places the organism in Eukaryota, Metazoa, Chordata, Mammalia, Microbiotheria, Microbiotheriidae.
GCGCUCGCUUUGGCGGCACAUAUACUAAAACUGGAAUGAUACAGAGAAGAUUAGCACGGCCCCUGUGCAAAGAUUCUUAUGGAGAAAAAACUAUAAAGACCCUA